This 27-nucleotide small RNA is filed under the name Bombyx mori (domestic silkworm). Its description in RNAcentral is "ovarian small RNA-6796". The record is from RNAcentral. Lineage: Eukaryota; Metazoa; Arthropoda; Insecta; Lepidoptera; Bombycidae.
UCAAUUAGUACCAGUACUGUGACUUUA